Molecule: ribosomal RNA, 200 nt
Filed under: uncultured bacterium
Lineage: Bacteria
Description: partial 16S ribosomal RNA
Rfam family: Bacterial small subunit ribosomal RNA
Source: RNAcentral
AACGAACGCUGGCGGCAGGCUUAACACAUGCAAGUCGAACGCUCCGCAAGGAGAGUGGCAGACGGGUGAGUAACGCGUGGGAAUCUACCUGAUACUACGGAACAACAGAGGGAAACUUCUGCUAAUACCGUAUACGCCCUACGGGGGAAAGAUUUAUCGGUAUCAGAUGAGCCCGCGUAAGAUUAGCUAGUUGGUGGGUA